GCAGGGAGUGAUUCAUGAGUCUACAAACACGAUUGGUUGUCAGCACAGUCUCCGAGCACGGCAUAGAGACUGAUCGACCAGUCCCCGAGCAUGGUUGGGAACGUAAACGUGCUCGGUGGUCGGCACAGUCUCCGAGCACGGCGUAGAGACUGGUAGACAAGUCCCCGAGCGUGGUUGGGAACAUAAACGUGCUCAGUGGUCGGCACAAUCUUCGAACACAACAUAGAGACUAGUCGACAAGUCCCCGAGUGUGGUUAGAAACGUAAACGUGCUCGGUGGUCGGAGCAGUCCCCGAGCAUAGCGUAGGGAAUAGUCGACGAGUCCCCGAGCGUAGCUUGUUGACCGAGCCAAACUUCUGAAAAAUAAAUAUAGAGAAUAUGUAGUACAUGAUGUAUAAAUAAACUUUAGAUAAAAAAUCAGCACUGAGAUAAGUUUUAGAUUUUUUAUUAUAAAAUUAGCACAAGUAGUUAAUUCAUCUUAGAGCUCGUACCAGCUCUGGUCUAGCCAACAAUCAGCAUGAGGUGUGGAACCUAGGCACGCGUAGGAUUGCCAGCCUCGCCAGAGAGCUACUGCCGACCACCCGGAACGCAGAGAACAGAUCUCAUGCACGUGUAGGGAGGAGUCGGAGACAGUGCCGGCUCUGGAAAAUUCGUGUGGAAAACUCGUGUAGGAGAAAAAACUAGUCGACUAACCAAAAAGUUAUUUUAAAGAAUAAUAAAAAAAAAUAUUAUGCUAAAAAUAAAUAAAAUAUUAGAAGUGUACUUAUCUUUGGAAGAAAGUCUAGUCGGUGACGACAAAAUUGUCCGGCCC
This 810-nucleotide long non-coding RNA is filed under the name Sorghum bicolor (sorghum). Its description in RNAcentral is "long non-coding RNA (SBIC_LNC006308)". The record is from RNAcentral. Lineage: Eukaryota; Viridiplantae; Streptophyta; Magnoliopsida; Poales; Poaceae.